UUACAACCCAAGCUUGUCUCCCUUUGUAAAAUGAAGCCAGCAGACUUGCCUCCAAUGGAGUGUCAGAAAUUAAAGAGAGGACAGAGCUGAGGAGACACUGACGGAGCGGGCUGGAGGCCACUGGGUAACGAAACACGCUGGGCCUUGCACUGUGGUCUCCGUCCCCCACUCAUAACCAUCAUAAAUGUGCCUAGGAGAGAAAUGAAGCAAUUCUCAGAUGGCAAAUUAAAUGAUGGUGGCUCUCCAGGGAGGAAGAAGGCUCUCCAGGGGCUCUCUGCAGCUCCACAGGAGCCUGGCCUUUCAUCUGCAGACCUCGCCAGACUGAGAAACACCAAAGCCCAGGGCCGACCAGGAGCAGAGGGUCUGAGAAACCCAAAUGUCACUCAAGAACGUUGGAACCCCAAAGCCUUUUAUUAUGAAUCAUGAAUUAAUCAGACAGAGGGACGACUGGUAAGAUGGCUGAACUACUUGUUGCCAAGCCUGACAACUUGAGUUUGAUGUCCACAACCCAUAGGGUGGAAGAAAGAAUGGAUCCCUGAGGACUAUCUUCUGAGUUCCACACACCUGCUCUAUCCCAGAUAAGUAAAUUAAACAUGUGUUAAC
This 603-nucleotide long non-coding RNA is filed under the name Rattus norvegicus (Norway rat). RNAcentral's name for it is "long non-coding RNA NONRATT004136". Lineage: Eukaryota; Metazoa; Chordata; Mammalia; Rodentia; Muridae. The record is from RNAcentral.